AACUUUUUAGCUUAGUGUUUAAGCGUUUAUCUUGAAAAUAAAUUAGAAGGGUUUAAUUCCCUUAAUAGUUU
This 71-nucleotide transfer RNA is filed under the name Proisotoma minuta. RNAcentral's name for it is "tRNA-Ser". It matches the Rfam family "tRNA". Rfam says of the family: Transfer RNA (tRNA) molecules are approximately 80 nucleotides in length. Their secondary structure includes four short double-helical elements and three loops (D, anti-codon, and T loops). Lineage: Eukaryota; Metazoa; Arthropoda; Collembola; Entomobryomorpha; Isotomidae. The record is from RNAcentral.